RNAcentral lists this ribosomal RNA (511 nucleotides) under uncultured bacterium. Its description in RNAcentral is "bacterial SSU rRNA". It matches the Rfam family "Bacterial small subunit ribosomal RNA", at positions 29 to 517 of the family's 1533-position model. The record is from RNAcentral.
AGCGAACGUUAGCGGCGGGCCUAACACAUGCAAGUCGAACGCGAAAGGUCUUCGGACUGAGUAGAGUGGCGCACGGGUGAGUAACUCGUAGGUAAUCUACCCUUUGGCGGGGGAUAACGUUCCGAAAGGAGCGCUAAUACCGCAUAAGACCACGGAGUCUCCGGACGCUGUGGGAAAAGGUGGCCUCUUCUUGAAAGCUACCACCGAAGGAUGAGCCUGCGUCCCAUCAGCUAGUUGGUAAGGUAAUGGCUUACCAAGGCGAAGACGGGUAGCUGGUUUGAGAGAAUGAUCAGCCACACUGGCACUGGAACACGGGCCAGACUCCUACGGGAGGCAGCAGUGAGGAAUAUUGGGCAAUGGGCGAAAGCCUGACCCAGCCACGCCGCGUGAGUGAUGAAGGCCCUCGGGUCGUAAAGCUCUGUGGAGAGGGACGAAAACCCUGGUUUCAAAUAGGCUCCAGGCUUGACGGUACCUCUUUAGCAAGCACCGGCUAACUCUGUGCCAGCAGCCG